CUUCAGCGAGCCGAGCCACAACGGCGUCUCCCGCUCCUGGCCGUAGGUCGCCAGGAGCGCCUGCGCCUC
RNAcentral lists this antisense RNA (69 nucleotides) under Amycolatopsis rifamycinica. RNAcentral describes it as "Aspks sRNA". It matches the Rfam family "ASpks TB sRNA". Lineage: Bacteria; Bacillati; Actinomycetota; Actinomycetes; Pseudonocardiales; Pseudonocardiaceae. The record is from RNAcentral.